GACGAACGCUGGCGGCGUGCUUAACACAUGCAAGUCGAACGGAAAGGCCCUGCUUUUGUGGGGUGCUCGAGUGGCGAACGGGUGAGUAACACGUGAGUAACCUGCCCUUGACUUUGGGAUAACUUCAGGAAACUGGGGCUAAUACCGGAUAGGAGCUCCUGCUGCAUGGUGGGGGUUGGAAAGUUUCGGCGGUUGGGGAUGGACUCGCGGCUUAUCAGCUUGUUGGUGGGGUAGUGGCUUACCAAGGCUUUGACGGGUAGCCGGCCUGAGAGGGGGACCGGCCACAUUGGGAUGGAGAUAAGGCACAGACUAGAACGGGAGGGAGCAGUGGGGAAUAGUGCACAAUGGGCGGAAGCCUGACGCAGCAACGCAGCGUGCGGGAUGACGGCCUUCGGGUUGUAAACCGCUUUCGCCUGUGACGAAGCGUGAGUGACGGUAAUGGGUAAAGAAGCACCGGCUAACUACGUG
RNAcentral lists this ribosomal RNA (468 nucleotides) under uncultured bacterium. Its description in RNAcentral is "partial 16S ribosomal RNA". It matches the Rfam family "Bacterial small subunit ribosomal RNA", at positions 28 to 507 of the family's 1533-position model. The record is from RNAcentral.